This 267-nucleotide long non-coding RNA is filed under the name Jatropha curcas. RNAcentral's name for it is "long non-coding RNA (JCUR_LNC000180)". Lineage: Eukaryota; Viridiplantae; Streptophyta; Magnoliopsida; Malpighiales; Euphorbiaceae. The record is from RNAcentral.
UGAAAUGUUAUGACAAGAUAUCUGUAUGGCUCCAUAAGGUUAUAGUGAAACCGAAGUGAUAAGAAAAACUGUAUGAAACUGGAGGAAUACUGUAUGCUUGGCUGCUAUGGCCUGUAUAAUCAUAUCCACUCAACGGCCUGUAGCCGGAGUACCAAACUGUAUGGGGCGCAGAUCUGCUAUCCUAUGUCGCGACAUAGCCUUAUCUACAUGGUUUCUACCUAACCUCAAUGGAGCAUAAUGUUGGUAUGUCAAUAAUAUAACACAACA